RNAcentral lists this ribosomal RNA (253 nucleotides) under uncultured bacterium. RNAcentral's name for it is "partial 16S ribosomal RNA". It matches the Rfam family "Bacterial small subunit ribosomal RNA", at positions 524 to 776 of the family's 1533-position model. The record is from RNAcentral.
UACGUAGGGGGCUAGCGUUGUCCGGAAUCAUUGGGCGUAAAGCGCGUGUAGGCGGCCCGGUAAGUCCGCUGUGAAAGUCGGGGGCUCAACCCUCGAAAGCCGGUGGAUACUGUCGGGCUCGAGUGCGGAAGAGGCGAGUGGAAUUCCUGGUGUAGCGGUGAAAUGCGCAGAUAUCAGGAGGAACACCGAUUGCGAAGGCAGCUCGCUGGGACGUUACUGACGCUGAGACGCGAAAGCUAGGGUAGCAAACAGG